AUCUCUUCACGGUCUGUUGACUAAGAUCGAAAUGUAGUAUUUGUUCUUUUCAGUUAAAUAUCCGGUAUGGUCUCAAUUUAGUGUCAUUAAUAUUAAACUGGUUUUCAGAAUAAAGCAAAGAGUUAAGGGCAUGCGCCGCUUUCAUAGAGUUGACCUAGUAUUGCUGUACUUCCAGGAUUCAGCACAUUUUCU
Molecule: non-coding RNA, 192 nt
Organism: Octopus bimaculoides (California two-spot octopus)
Lineage: Eukaryota; Metazoa; Mollusca; Cephalopoda; Octopoda; Octopodidae
Source: Rfam